Canis lupus familiaris (dog) is the source of this 637-nucleotide long non-coding RNA. RefSeq lists it as uncharacterized. The record is from RefSeq and is a predicted model, not a curated record. NCBI's taxonomy places the organism in Eukaryota, Metazoa, Chordata, Mammalia, Carnivora, Canidae. The transcript is spliced from 4 exons.
AGAUGCUGAGGGACGUUCCCUCUAUCCCUGUACUCUGAAGGGUUUGGAUCUGCCAUGGAUGCCGUAUUUUGUCAAAUGCUUCCUCUGCGUCUCUUGAGAGGAUCAUCUGGUUCUUGUUUUCUCUCUUGCAGAUCUGAUGAAGCCCAUCGAGUGUUCUCCGAGUGCUGAAGCAGCCUUGCACCCUGGCGAUUAACCCCACUGGGUCGUGAUCUGAUGAAGCCCAUCGAGUGUUCUCCGAGUGCUGAAGCAGCCUUGCACCCUGGCGAUUAACCCCACUGGGUCGUGAUCUGAUGAAGCCCAUCGAGUGUUCUCCGAGUGCUGAAGCAGCCUUGCACCCUGGCGAUUAACCCCACUGGGUCGUGAUCUGAUGAAGCCCAUCGAGUGUUCUCCGAGUGCUGAAGCAGCCUUGCACCCUGGCGAUUAACCCCACUGGGUCGUGGUGAGUAACUUCUUAAUCAUGUCCCGUCGGAUCCUGUUGGCUCAUAUCUUGUGGAGAAGGUGUGCGUCCGCCUUAAUCAGGGACAUCGGUCCAGCAUUGUCCCCUUUUGGGGUCUUGGGUUUUGGAGUUAAGGUGAUGCUGGCCUCCAAGAACGAGCUUGGAAGUAUUCCAUCUCUUUCUAUCUUUCGGAGCAGCUUU